Molecule: non-coding RNA, 174 nt
Filed under: Acidaminobacter hydrogenoformans DSM 2784
Lineage: Bacteria; Bacillati; Bacillota; Clostridia; Peptostreptococcales; Acidaminobacteraceae
Source: RNAcentral
UCCAUCGCGAGAUGGAGUCUGAAGGAAGCCGGAGGCAAAAUCCCGGGCUGACGAACAGAAACCGUAUACUGAGGCCGGUACAGGGCGGAUGAGUUUGCAUUACAAAACAAAGUCCAAUGCUACCCGAACCCUUGCUGGUAAAUGCGGCGGCUAUAUGGGAUGAAGGUUAUCGUU